CAUAAAUACACUGCUGUGUGUGUGUGUUCUGUGUGAGGAUGGUUUGAGGGUGCUGUUUGUGUGUGUGUGUGUAAGGGUGCUGUUUGUGUGUGUGUGUAAGGGUGCUGUUUGUGUGUGUGUGUAAGGGUCCUGUUUGUGUGUGUGUGUGUGUGUGUGUGUGUAAGGGUCCUGUUAGUGUGCUGUGUGUAUGUGUGAGGGUGCUGUUUGUGUGUGUGCUGUAUCUGUGUGUGUGGGUGGAGGUGGGGGUACAUUACUUAAUAUCCCCCCUCCUUUAUUACCUUAUGUAGGGAGGGGGGAUCCUUUCUGCCUUCCCUGGUGUUCCAGAUGAGGUGGGGGCAGAUCAGGUAAUAUCCCCCCUCCCUUGUUACCUUAUGUAGGGAGGUGGGAUUCUUGUUCCUGCUGCCAUCCUUCCCUGGUGGUCCAGUGGUGAGUGAACUCGAGCCUGCAGGGCUAGAGUUCACUCUCGCGAUAUCUGAGCGUUGCCACGGCAAUGCUCAGAUCUCGCGAGAGGAACCUGGCGGAGCUGCUGGCAAGAGCUCCCCAGGUCCUCUCCUGCCUCCCUCACUGCUUGUGGGUCGGUGAGGGGAGGCCCCUGCCGGUCUCACUCCAUAGGCGUGCCGCGGGGAUUAGGGUGUGCCCACCGUGCACACACCUAUGUUCAUGGCUAAGUACCAUUGAGGUGACCGGGGACACACAAAGUCCUCAUGCCGUAUAUAGUUCCAUAACGAUCGCGGCUAUGUACCACUGAGGACAAUUUGUGGGUUUCUUCAUGCGAACAGCCGCCAUUGAGCUAGUGUUUGCUUCCAUUUGAAUGAAUGGAAAGUGCCGAACCAGGGGGACCCAGGGAAAGCUGCUUAUGGCAGCUGGGGAGGUUAUCUCCCGAACAAGGUCUCUGACCUGGACCAUAGUCAGUGGGCUGGAGGCCAGCUUCCACACUCCUCCAGAAGUUUGUGGCAAACAUCCAUGGUAAAGAGCGUUUGUCACAGUGGUUAUGGUGUCAGUCAUUAGAUGUCAUUGACCGGUUGUCUGACAUGUCUAUUUCAGAAUAAUUUGACUCUUAGCAUGCUCUGUCGCUAGUUGGAAGUGCACACUUGUCUUAACUUUCUAAAGAAGACCCAGUUUAGAAAGUAGGCCUAAACUUGCCAUUUUUAUCAAUGAAAACUAUUUUGAAAUUAUAAUAUUUAAAUCUUUGAUGAGUGUGCUUGAUAGCGGAGGUAUAAAAUUACUCUAUCUACAUAUCUAACAUGGACUGGUAGACUGGCUGCCAUUAAAAUGAUCAUAGUCCCUGAAUUUCAAUAUUUGUUCUGCACUCUACCCAUCCACCUCCCGACCGCAUACCUUAAGGAGGCACAACAGUUACUUAACCAAUUUACCUGGGAACAUAAGAUACCAAGAGUGAAAGCACAUAUCCUAUAUCAAAAAACAGCUGAAGGAGGGAUGAAUGCACGAAAUGUCCGCGUGUACUACCAGGCAGCUAUUCUGAACUGCAUGAUACCAAUCCAUACCCAUAAGGGGCUAGGGGGCUCUUUGGGGACCCUUAGAUGAGCAUUACACUAGCUCGAGCCCAGACCAGAACGUAUUAAUUUAUUUUGGCACUAUCAGAGGGAUCCCUGAGCCCACUCCGAUCUCAACAUUAGGGGGGUUUUUAUGUGGACCGGACAGUGCUAGAUAUAGACUUUCAGUUAUAUAUAUUUAUAUAUAUUUAUUUCUUCUGAGUUUGUUUGGAUGCACACGAACAGUGAAUACUAUACACUGUUAAAUGUAACUAAAGGUCUAUCCUUUUUUUGUUUCUGGCAAGAUUUUGUUACAUUUAUUUUCGAUACAGGCAUCCCUGUGCUACCUCUAUAUAACUUUUUGUGACUUAAUCAUUGUCAUAUACAGUUAUUUUGUAUCUUUAGGACACAACUCACCCUGUAUACUUUAUUUCAUUGUAAAAACCGUUGGUUUUUGCAUAGUAUUAGGAGAAGGAUCCUGAAAACUUUUGAACAGGACUUCUUUUUGAUUAUAUAGGCACAUCUAGCGUGAGUUGUUUUUUUUCCCUACAGGAUUUUAACCCUUAGGGGUCAUUGUUAAUAAUAUACUUUGUUCUAUUUUCUCUCAAAAUUUAUAGCAUAUACUAUUUUUAACUAUACUAUUAAAAGCUAUAUUUUAAUUUAGGGGCACUCCUUGUCUUCCCCUUCUUGUUUUCACUACUGUGGUAGUCUCGGGUUAACCCCUAAUUGAGUGCAUCCCCUUGCUUCCAGUUUCUUUUCUAAUUAUUCUUCAAUCCAUACCCACAGCUCACCACCUCAAUGGGUGGCUUUAGAAAAUUAUGUACUACACCCUUGUGUCCCUGAUCUGGUCACCUAAACAUUGCAGACCUAAGAACGCAAAUACAUUGCCAACCACAGCCACGACACUCCACGUCUGGGACCAGAACAAACAAAUAUGCUGUUCACAGAACCCACACUCCAAAGCCAUGGCAGUAUCCGCCCUAACUUCAAUGAUUCCAGACUUCAAUUAUAAAAUCUGGGUACGGCUUCAUACAUCAGCUAUACCAGGACACCCACCUUUUAACAUUCCCGGAGAUGCAGUGCCGGUAUGGCCUCCCAUCCAUAGCCCACUUCUCACACAGACAAAUCCACUCAUGGUUGACGAAACAGCACAGGGAAAAAAGUGACAAUGUAAAUGAACUUCGGCUGACGAGCUUUGAAAGAAUUCUUCUCAAAUUGACACCAGCGCAUAAAACCUUCUCAACUCUAUAUGCCAAUAUAUUACAAUAUAACCUCACACUCAGGUAUCCCAUUGUCAUGGCAUGGGGAAAAGAUUUUGGGCAAACCAUGCCUGCCACAACGUGGAGGGAGAUAUUUCUCACUCUUAAAAAACUCACACUCCGCGCCAACCAUACUGAAUUAUCCAGAAAAAUCCUAUACAGGUGGUACUUAGUACCCACACGCCUUAAGCGAAUAUACCCCGACGCCUCUGAUAGAUGCUGGCGAUGCACCUCUGGAGCCGGAUGUAUGAUCCACAUCUGGUGGACAUGCCCAAUACUCCUUACUUGGCAACGAUAACCGCGCUGAUCCACGACAGCACAGGUGUUAAUUUGCCAAAAACUCCCGACACCAGAUCAACAUAGCGGCCCUAGCUCUGAUCAGCAGAUCAUGGAAAAAACGGAGGCGCCAACCAUACAGCAAUGUAGACAGCUUAUAGACGCGACCCGAUUCUAUGAAUUAGCAAGCAGAACAGCUCUCUCCACCAGGGCAAUCUUUUGGAGUAGGGCUUGGCAGGCUGCAGUCCCCCCUCUCCCCCUGUCAUAUCUAAGGACACUGUUUGAAGUCUCGACAGCCGAGUUCAUCAUAGAUACCACAAAAUAUGUAAUAAUAAUGUACACAAAUGUGAGCUAUCCUAGGGGGUAGCUCACCCGGGUAAACAAGGUCACACCAAGAUACUCGACCCUCUUCCAAGAGAGGCACAAAAGCACCCCUUCCACGCUUCUGAUAGGACCCCUUAUCGACCAAGAUAGUUACUGGAUAACUUCAGCUUCAGCUCUCUAUUCUACUUCCCCCCCCCCCCCCCCCCGAUCCCAAGUUGGAAAAAAAAUAAAAACAAACUCUGUUCAAGUGGACUACUGUGUUGAAUAUGUAUGUAACUGCAUAACUGAAACAUUUCUCUUCUGUAUACAUAUACAACUGCAUAAUCUGCGAACUUUGUAACACCAAUGACCACUGUGAACUUGAAAACUGCUUAGUUAAAAAAAAAAAAAAAUUACUCUAUCUCUACUCACGUGAGAAGGUACCCAAUACAGCAAGGUAAGUGUCAAACUAUUAAAGGUUUUGAAUUACUACCAGUGGAUGGAACCUGAGGACUCCUUGUACAUUACUUCUAAUCAUCCUAAAUGAUGGGGAACAGCAGUGAUAAGAGUAUAGUCAGAGAACAGGACAAAAUCUGGAAAUUAGAAGAUCAUAAAGUCACUAAUGCCAACCAAAGUCUGAGAACCCAAAAUGGAUAAUCUUGAAUUACUGGUUAAAAAAUAAUUAUAUUCAGGGACACACUAAAGGGCUAUGGGAAACCUGAAGGUAAAGAGCAUGUUGCUGAACUACAACUGCUGAUUUGUUCUACAAUGUAAUUACAGGACCCACCAUUGUGACAUGCUAAAAGAACUAAACUGGCUGUCACUGGAAUCCAGACACACCUUUCAUCUUUCCAGCCUUGUGUUUAAGAGCUUUUCUGGGAAGCUCCCAACCUACCUGUGCAGAAUGAUCUCCCUGGCUGUUCCCACCUCCUAUAACCUCCGAUCUAGUACAGCACUUUAUUUACCUCAAUACAAAAAGAAAGCAGCCCAAUCCUCCUUUUCCUACAGAGCACUGCAAUUAUGGAAUGACCUCCCACAUACUUUCAAAUCUUCCCCAAGCCUAAAGUCCUUUAAGAGAUCCCUCUCUCCAUACCUCAAAACAGAAUGCACGUGUCAUGGUUGAUUAUAUAUUUCCUACCUGUUCUGUGUUAAAUUUUGUAUAUAUUGUGUAUUAAUAUUGUUUUUAUAUUUUAUUGUAUCAAUGCAAUGUUUUGUGGACCCAGGACAUACUUGAAAACGAGAGAAAUCUCAAUGUAUCUUUCC
This is a non-coding RNA of Pelobates cultripes (western spadefoot toad), 4594 nucleotides long. The record is from the annotation of a GenBank genome assembly. Lineage: Eukaryota; Metazoa; Chordata; Amphibia; Anura; Pelobatidae.